Molecule: non-coding RNA, 1017 nt
Organism: Oncorhynchus mykiss (rainbow trout)
Lineage: Eukaryota; Metazoa; Chordata; Actinopteri; Salmoniformes; Salmonidae
Source: RefSeq, a predicted model, not a curated record
UAACACAUGUUAAGUUUGCUGAAAAUUAACACAGUUGAUGUUGAGAGGACGUUUCUUUUUUGCUGAGUUUACAAUGUAGAAAAUAGUAAAAAUAAACAAAUGCCCUUGAAUGAGUAUGUGUCCAAACUUUUGACUGGUACUGUAUAUCAAGCCAAUGCUAUCAGCAGAGGUUGUAUGUUUCAAAACGCCACAUCCCUUCAGAUUUGAACUUUUUCAUUUAGCAGAAGUUCAAUCUGGUCAUGAGGUAAAUGUUACAGACUAGUGUGCAAGUGUUUUUUAAACUUCCAUAUGUCAACACAAUGUAUUGGACAGCACUGUCUCUCACACAUUUUAAUAACAGUUCAUUCAGAACUAUAAGCAAUGUAUGAAACUUGAAAGGGUAGUUUCUAUGUGUGUUAUGUUCAUCUUAUGUGUUUCACCCCAACAGAAACUCAGUUGAGUCGAUUGUGAAUGUAUUGUGUUGUAAGAACUGUGUCCAUUGCCAUAAGCAGUAUUAGAAUGUCUGUACAUAAAGAUAACUUUGUCUAGGAUUGUGCUCAUAAGUGUCAUGGUUAGCCACUGCAAAUAUCCCUCAUUCUGCUGUGUCGGGCUUCAGCCUUGAGAGAAAGAUGAACAAUGAAUCCCACUGUGACUGAGGAAGCCUUACGACUGAGUAAUGCUUUUAACAUGCAUUGUACUAAAAAUGCCAUUUGAAAAUUUUACAUUUAUCUGUGUGCAUGCCUCAUGAUAGUAUCAAAUCAUUAUGUCAAGAUAACAAUAAAAUCUCAAAUAAACCCCCAUUUCUGUUUGGCUGGCUCAUUUGAAUAUAUUUGUUUUACUGUGAAUUGUCAUUAGGUUUUAUCAGUCAACAGUUUUACAUAAACCAUUUACAUUUUUAAAUAUUUAUUGUAUGACCAGGAGAUUGAUUGUCUCUAUUACAAUAUGUGCAACACACUGGACUUGAAAUACAGUGGGUGAAUUAGUCUCUACCUCCUCCUGGUGGCAGCAGCUAGGUACUGACUAGAGGACGAGACAAAA